AGGACUUUUCGGGUGGGGAUUUGUUAGGCUGUACUUUGAUUGUAUGGUAUCAAAUUGUUUCUUAAUAUUGUGGUCCCUGAGGAAGUCCCUAUUUUGUUAAAGGGACGAAACGCGUAGGACCUUAUUUAUAUUUAUUUUAUUUAUUUUUAAACACAUUUUAAUAUUGAAUUAAAGCCAUUUUUCCAAACUUCACCCGGAGUCCUGUGUUGGAGUGAAAACAUCCAGGGGAUUUCCCUAGGCCCCCCAUACUAUCGGGGAAGGCACCUUACAAGCUUCAAUUUGUCCAAAAUCCAGUGAGUGCAUUUCAAUUUGCGCAAUGUUUAUACUGUAAACUGUAUUACACUAUAUUCUCUCUAUUUACUUUUGUAGAGAUUAUCAGCCGGUUCCCUCGUUGUUGUUU
Pelobates cultripes (western spadefoot toad) is the source of this 400-nucleotide non-coding RNA. The record is from the annotation of a GenBank genome assembly. NCBI's taxonomy places the organism in Eukaryota, Metazoa, Chordata, Amphibia, Anura, Pelobatidae.